UACGUAGGGGGCAAGCGUUGUCCGGAAUCAUUGGGCGUAAAGAGCGCGUAGGCGGCCCGAUAAGUCCGCUGUGAAAGUCAAGGGCUUAACCCUUGAAUGCCGGUGGAAACUGUCGGGCUAGAGUCCGGAAGAGGCGAGUGGAAUUCCUGGUGUAGCGGUGAAAUGCGCAGAUAUCAGGAGGAACACCAAUGGCGAAGGCAGCUCGCUGGGACGGUACUGACGCUGAGGCGCGAAAGCUAGGGGAGCAAACGGG
This 253-nucleotide ribosomal RNA is filed under the name uncultured bacterium. RNAcentral describes it as "partial 16S ribosomal RNA". It matches the Rfam family "Bacterial small subunit ribosomal RNA", at positions 524 to 776 of the family's 1533-position model. The record is from RNAcentral.